CAGCAGUAGCCACGGGAAAACCAGCACCUCGAGUGGUCAGGAGGUUUAUUGGGCCUAAAGCAUCCGUAGCCGGUUGCAUAAGUUUUCGGUUAAAUCUAUGCGCUUAACGUAUAGGCCGCCGAAAAUACUGUGCAGCUAGGGAGUGGGAGAGGUACACGGUACUCGAUAGGAAGGGGUAAAAUCCUUUGAUCUAUUGAUGACCACCUGUGGCGAAGGCGGUGUACCAGAACACGUUCGACGGUGAGGGAUGAAAGCUGGGGGAGCAAACCGGAUUAGAUACCCGGGUAGUCCCUGUCUCUUAUAU
RNAcentral lists this ribosomal RNA (304 nucleotides) under uncultured bacterium. Its description in RNAcentral is "partial 16S ribosomal RNA". It matches the Rfam family "Archaeal small subunit ribosomal RNA", at positions 456 to 760 of the family's 1478-position model. The record is from RNAcentral.